CCUACGGGAGGCAGCAGUGGGGAAUAUUGGACAAUGGGGGCAACCCUGAUCCAGCCAUGCCGCGUGUGUGAAGAAGGCCUUUUGGUUGUAAAGCACUUUAAGCAGGGAGGAGAGGCUAAUGGUUAAUACCCAUUAGAUUAGACGUUACCUGCAGAAUAAGCACCGGCUAACUCUGUGCCAGCAGCCGCGGUAAUACAGAGGGUGCGAGCGUUAAUCGGAAUUACUGGGCGUAAAGCGAGUGUAGGUGGCUCAUUAAGUCACAUGUGAAGUCCCCGGGCUUAACCUGGGAACUGCAUGUGAUACUGGUGGUGCUAGAAUAUGUGAGAGGGAAGUAGAAUUCCAGGUGUAGCGGUGAAAUGCGUAGAGAUCUGGAGGAAUACCGAUGGCGAAGGCAGCUUCCUGGCAUAAUAUUGACACUGAGAUUCGAAAGCGUGGGUAGCAAACAGGAUUAGAUACCCUGGUAGUCCACGCCGUAAACGAUGUCUACUAGCCGUUGGGGUCCUUGAGACUUUAGUGGCGCAGUUAACGCGAUAAGUAGACCGCCUGGGGAGUACGGCCGCAAGGUUAAAACUCAAAGUGAAUUGACGGNGNGAGAGNGCGAGGACGACGACGAGGGAGGAG
Molecule: ribosomal RNA, 621 nt
Filed under: uncultured bacterium
Lineage: Bacteria
Description: bacterial SSU rRNA
Rfam family: Bacterial small subunit ribosomal RNA
Source: RNAcentral